UUGAAACUACAGUCUAACUUAAUCUACCGCUCAGAGGGACAGACCGCCGUGUUGCCGUGCACCUUCGCUGACUCCACUGAUGAACAGCCCCCCCGCUGGUCUACUCGGAUCUCCCCUGAUCCAGGACUACUGAACCAGACUGAUCCUUCAGUAGACCAGAACUACUCGCUGGUGUUUUCAUCUCUGAUGUUAAAUCACUCAGGUCGGUACUUCUGUAGAGUCUCUAUGAGAGAGCAACAGUAUGUGCUGGUGGUGUGUCCCACAUUCGGCCCCCCCACUGUAGAGCUCUUCUCAGAGGGAGAUGAUGUCACUCUCAGGUGCACAGGUGGGGGGGGGGGGUAGGGAGCAUGAUUGGUUCAUCAAGUCAGACCGAACAGAGGGAAGAGUCUUUAAUGUAAGGUCUGGUCAGAGCAUGAGCAGAGUGAGCAGGGACUAUGUUAAUGGUAACCUGGUUAUUUCUAAUAUGUCAGUGGGGGACACGGGUGGGUACUGGUGUGUAGUUACUGACCUAUAUGACCAGUGCAUGUCCACAGAGAGGACGGUGGUGGUCUACGUGGAG
Long non-coding RNA from Etheostoma spectabile (orangethroat darter), 559 nucleotides. RefSeq lists it as uncharacterized. Lineage: Eukaryota; Metazoa; Chordata; Actinopteri; Perciformes; Percidae. The record is from RefSeq and is a predicted model, not a curated record. The transcript has 3 exons.